UAGAAGCCGGCCGCGGGCGUGUGUCCCCACGAGGGUGCGGGGGCGGAGAGAGUUGUCGCCAGUCAAGUCGCGGCUCAGAGGCACGAAGGGAGUUUGUGCUGUGAUGAAGUUCGGUGUGUGAUUUUAAACCCAAAUAGCCAGUCAUAUGGCCCAACAAGUUACUUCACCUUUUUGAAUCUCAACUUACAUCAUCUGCAAAAUGGCACUAACUGAGGCUCUUCUUUCUAAAAUGGAAACUGGCAUGACGAGUUCUUACUGUAACCUCCAGUUACUCAAUGUCAGCAUCACAAAUAAAUGGUCCAUGGAGAAUGAAGCUGAACACAGAGGAAUGCUUUCCUAAAAGUGAUUACUUGGAAAUUUGGAUUUCAGAGGUGGAAAUGAAGCGUAUAGCUUCAUGUUGAAGAGCAAAAUAUACCAAUACUUAAAACAUUUCACAAGAUAAGUAACAGAAAUAGCAGCAGUGCUAUAUUUAAGUAAGAGAAAUGAAUGGAAUUCCAUGUCCUAUUUCCCACCUGUCCUAUUUCCAGGCAUUGAGAUCUAAGUCGUGAAGAUGGUUGUACGAAUGAACUCCAAGGGCUUCCUCUGCCUUUGUACCUGUCCUUUAGACAGUGAGUGGACUUCGGUCAUUAGGCUGCACGAGUCACUCCAUUCUCACAAGGACUACGGGCUGAAAAUCAAUAGUUGGAUCGUUUAAUAAUGCUCCAAAGACUUGAAAAGAGCCUGUUAAGAGAGGUUUAAACCAAAAUAGAGGAACUUCAGAGUGAGGUGUUCCUGUAUUUGUUGUUAUUUUCCUUUGACUUACAGAGAACUAUUUGUACCUCGGUACGCCUGUUGCUAGAAUGGACUUCAGCUCAGGCCAUUAAUCCAGACUUUUUAGAUACGUCAGAAGAUAAAAUGUGUCGCUUAUUCACGAGGUGGUAUAACAAAAUUUGAAAGAACUAAAGUAUGAUUAAUCACUUUUCAGUAUAUAAAUGUUAAGAUUUGUAGUUGAAAGUACAAAUCGCUUUAUAAUGAUUUAUAGCAUUUACUGUUUCUUGUCUGAGUGUGGAAAAUGGAACCAUGCUUAUAGAUGGGGUAAAAUGUAUUUAUUACACUGUUUCUCAUUAGCUUCAAGUCUUUGAUGCUGCUUCUAAGAUUUCAAGUACAAGACUUGGCAAGAGAAGUUAUUGUGCUUCAUUGCUAUUGGAUCUAUCCAGAUAAUAAGUUUCCUUUAAAAAUGACUUUACACUGUGUCUUGGUAGAUGUGAGUGUAUAGUUUUGUCAUAGUUAAUAAAAUUGUAUAGUUAAAUUAUGUGCAUUUUAUAAUACAUAAAUUAUACCUUAAUAAAAAAGAGUGUCGGGGAAAAAUGACAUUUCAGAAUCACCCUCAGGCUGGAGUUAUCAGAGAUCUGCAUAGUCUCAUAGUCCUUCAAGUGUUUGUUCAUGGGAACCUUCUGGAAUCAGUGAAAGGUGUUACAGGACCAGCCCAAGAUGUAAUGUCUGGUGGUCUUGGUGUACGGGUAAAAAUCUUUGUCAUAACUUUGAGAAAAGACAGAAAAGCAGAAGCUAAAAUUUUAGCUGCCAUAAAUUUAAUAAAAGCCAGUAGCAAAUUUAUCCACUGAC
Microcebus murinus (gray mouse lemur) is the source of this 1602-nucleotide non-coding RNA. Lineage: Eukaryota; Metazoa; Chordata; Mammalia; Primates; Cheirogaleidae. The record is from RefSeq and is a predicted model, not a curated record.